This 253-nucleotide ribosomal RNA is filed under the name uncultured bacterium. RNAcentral's name for it is "partial 16S ribosomal RNA". It matches the Rfam family "Bacterial small subunit ribosomal RNA", at positions 524 to 776 of the family's 1533-position model. The record is from RNAcentral.
UACGAACCGUCCAAACGUUAUUCGGAUUUAUUGGGCUUAAAGGGUAUGUAGGCGGCCCUUCAAGUCGGGUGUGAAAGCCCUCGGCUCAACCGAGGAACUGCGCCCGAUACUGUAGGGCUUGAGGGAGACAGAGGUAAGCGGAACUGAUGGUGGAGCGGUGAAAUGCGUUGAUAUCAUCAGGAACACCAGUGGCGAAAGCGGCUUACUGGGUCUCUUCUGACGCUGAGAUACGAAAGCUAGGGGAGCGAACGGG